AGUGAACGCUGGCGGUAGGCCUAACACAUGCAAGUCGAACGGCAGCACAGUAAGAGCUUGCUCUUACGGGUGGCGAGUGGCGGACGGGUGAGGAAUACAUCGGAAUCUACUUUUUCGUGGGGGAUAACGUAGGGAAACUUACGCUCAUACCGCAUACGCCCUACGGGUGAAAGCAGGGGAUCUUCGGACCUUGCGCGAUUGAAUGAGCCGAUGUCGGAUUAGCUAGUUGGCGGGGUAAAGGCCCACCAAGGCGACGAUCCGUAGCUGGUCUGAGAGGAUGAUCAGCCACACUGGAACUGAGACACGGUCCAGACUCCUACGGGAGGCAGCAGUGGGGAAUAUUGGACAAUGGGCGCAAGCCUGAUCCAGCCAUACCGCGUGGGUGAAGAAGGCCUUCGGGUUGUAAAGCCCUUUUGUUGGGAAAGAAAAGCAGCAGGUUAAUACCCCGCUGUUCUGACGGUACCCAAAGAAUAAGCACCGGCUAACUUCGUG
Molecule: ribosomal RNA, 492 nt
Filed under: uncultured bacterium
Lineage: Bacteria
Description: partial 16S ribosomal RNA
Rfam family: Bacterial small subunit ribosomal RNA
Source: RNAcentral